UGGGGAAUAUUGCACAAUGGGCGCAAGCCUGAUGCAGCCAUGCCGCGUGUAUGAAGAAGGCCUUCGGGUUGUAAAGUACUUUCAGCGAGGAGGAAGGCGUUGUGGUUAAUAACCGCAACGAUUGACGUUACUCGCAGAAGAAGCACCGGCUAACUCCGUGCCAGCAGCCGAGGUAAUACGGAGGGUGCAAGCGUUAAUCGGAAUUACUGGGCGUAAAGCGCACGCAGGCGGUCUGUCAAGUCGGAUGUGAAAUCCCCGGGCUCAACCUGGGAACUGCAUCCGAAACUGGCAGGCUAGAGUCUUGUAGAGGGGGGUAGAAUUCCAGGUGUAGCGGUGAAAUGCGUAGAGAUCUGGAGGAAUACCGGUGGCGAAGGCGGCCCCCUGGACAAAGACUGACGCUCAGGUGCGAAAGCGUGGGGAGCAAACA
RNAcentral lists this ribosomal RNA (427 nucleotides) under uncultured bacterium. Its description in RNAcentral is "partial 16S ribosomal RNA". It matches the Rfam family "Bacterial small subunit ribosomal RNA", at positions 355 to 774 of the family's 1533-position model. The record is from RNAcentral.